AGGGUAAUCCAUGUCUGAUGUUUUAGAUUCACUGAAGUGCUGCGUGGAAACUGGAAGUGAGGUCUAUAUAAUUCCACAUCACGUCCAGUGCGCCACUUAGUAUGGGGAGCGAGCGGAACACAGGCGCAAUGUGUGGAUUGGAUCGAUCGCGUAGGGAUGCCUUGAGAGACUUGGCAGAAUUUGGUGUAAAGCUCAAAGGACCACCUUGCAGACAGAGAUAAGACGGCCUGCAGGUUCAUCCGUCAAAGCGGGAGCUCUCUCUGUCACGACCAUAGAUAUGGUCAUUGCUCACGACCAACAUCCUGUCAGUAAAGACCAGCGACGAACAUUGAGAUCCAGAGGAAGAUUGUCAUUAACUCUCGAAGUUCCAGAAUGGAGUGAAAAUGGCAGCCAUAUUGGUCAGGGAGAAAUCCAACCCAGUCUUAUUGGAAUGAAUGGCAGAAGAGGCAUAAUCCUGAUUUUGCUUAUGCAGGAAAAUAAAACAAAAACGUGAUGUAUCAAAAAUGGUAUAAUAUAGUUAUUGUCAACCUCAAAUAUUGUCAUAUAAUCAUAAAUACAGUUUACAAGAUUUAUAUAGGUUAUUGUUAUAAAUAGCUUCUA
Oncorhynchus mykiss (rainbow trout) is the source of this 600-nucleotide non-coding RNA. The record is from RefSeq and is a predicted model, not a curated record. Lineage: Eukaryota; Metazoa; Chordata; Actinopteri; Salmoniformes; Salmonidae.